CAUGAAUUUUUAGUCAAUGACAAAUCAUAAUGAAACUUAAAAUCUUGAUGGAGCAUUUCAUGAAUAUCCCCAGCCUAUUAACUUUUCCAUCAAUUUUAUUGUCAUUUUAUAGGCUGGAAGUUGGACUUGUCUGGGACGUGUUUUCUCCCCCCUUUUUUGUGUGUGGGGGGCACAUUUACAACACUGAAGGAUGAUGUGGGAGGACCAGGAUCGAGGCUUUAAAAUGAAUAAAUGUAAGCACGUCUAAUUAUUUCUUUCA
RNAcentral lists this long non-coding RNA (259 nucleotides) under Sus scrofa (pig). RNAcentral's name for it is "lncRNA (ENSSSCG00040069907.1, ENSSSCG00050056377.1)". The record is from RNAcentral. Lineage: Eukaryota; Metazoa; Chordata; Mammalia; Artiodactyla; Suidae.